CAUCACCACAAAAUCAUGGCAUCGAUAUUGCGGGCCACCAAAUUUGUCCGCUAUUUCGCCGGAUUCGCGAGGAACAUAGAUUUCAACACAGUCCGGAAGACGGAAGGAAGUUUUAUUCAGCAGUCGCAAUGUUCUGUGAGCGGUUAUGCUACAUCUGCCGCUAGUUUCAGUCAGGGACUCGACCGAUCUUUGAAGCGGCUGGAUGAAGAUGUAAAAUGCUCUGGAAGAAACGCCGAGAUCUGGAAGAUGUUCCGGAGGAAAUCCGUAUCUUCCAGCGCUCAAUCUUGACUGGUUAUUCGUUGUUGCGAAAACCUAGAGGAGCUUCCCGAGGUGCGUACAGCUCUGGUUCAGGAGUAAUGGGAAACAUUGAACAGCUUGAACGUAGCAAUGGACAUUUCCCACUACAACGCCCUUCUUCGGGUGUAUUUGGAUAAUGAGCACUCUGUAGGGACCACUGGAUACGACACACUCCUUCUCGCCAACGGAACAAGGGCGUUGAACUGAAUCGGGUAACCUAUCAGCGAUUGAUUUCGCGCUACUGCCAAGAGGGAGACAUCGAGGGAGCAAACAAGAUUCUGGAAUUCCUGCGAGAGAAGCAGCAUGAAUGCGUUUUCAACGUUGCAUAAAAUUAGGCAAAUUAGUUGGUAACAUUAAACGAUAUUCAAUAAAAUGUUGAAACUAGAAAACAAUUUCUAUUUUUAUCCGAAAAUCUCCCAAUACAUUAAAAAUAUUGCGUUUGUGUGCGUGCUCUUUUCAUGAACGAUUCCUAAAACGGUUUGAAUAAUGUUGGAAUAAAAUAAAGUCAAAUCGUUACACAACCAUUGACGUAAGCGUUUAAUAAUGAGAGCUCCUCGAAAAAACUAUAACGAUGAC
Molecule: long non-coding RNA, 873 nt
Organism: Uranotaenia lowii
Lineage: Eukaryota; Metazoa; Arthropoda; Insecta; Diptera; Culicidae
Exons: 3
Source: RefSeq, a predicted model, not a curated record